AGCAGCCGCGGUAAUUCCAGCUCCAAUAGCGUAUAUUAAAGUUGUUGCAGUUAAAAAGCUCGUAGUUGAAUUUCGGGGUUAGUAAGUUGGUCAUGCCUUCGGUAUGUACUGGCUUUACUGAUUCCUCCUUCUUGACGAACCGUGAUGUCAUUAAUUUGGUGUUGCGGGAAAUCAGGACUGUUACUUUGAAAAAAUUAGAAGUGUUUAAAGCAGGCUAACGCUUGAAUACAUUAGCAUGGAAUAAUGAAAUAGGACGUUAAUCCUAUUUUGUUGGUUUCUAGGAUCGACGUAAUGAUUAAUAGGGAUAGUUGGGGGCAUUAGUAUUCGAAUUGUCAGAGGUGAAAUUCUUGGAUUUAUUGAAGACUAACUACUGCGAAAAGCAAUUUGCCAAGGAUGUUUUCAUUAAUCAAGAACGAAAGUUAGGGAUCGAAGACGAUCAGAUACCGUCGUAGUCUUAACCAUAAACUAUGCCGACUAGGGAUCGGAUGAUGUUAAUUCUUUAAUGUACUUCUAUUCGGCG
RNAcentral lists this ribosomal RNA (520 nucleotides) under uncultured Glomus. RNAcentral describes it as "SSU rRNA". It matches the Rfam family "Eukaryotic small subunit ribosomal RNA", at positions 569 to 1085 of the family's 1831-position model. Lineage: Eukaryota; Fungi; Glomeromycota; Glomeromycetes; Glomerales; Glomeraceae. The record is from RNAcentral.